Molecule: long non-coding RNA, 671 nt
Organism: Macrobrachium nipponense
Lineage: Eukaryota; Metazoa; Arthropoda; Malacostraca; Decapoda; Palaemonidae
Exons: 3
Source: RefSeq, a predicted model, not a curated record
GCCUUCCUGACGAGAGGUCCUACAAGAUGCGUUCGUUGGUUUUUAAGUUUCUUGUUAUUUGAGUGUUCCUUGAAUGUCUUGUUACUUAACGUUGCGUUUUAGGAUUCGUUGGCUUCGUCAAAAACUACGUUGACUUGAAUGGCUCGCAAGACGUAAAGUAUUUUUAUUCCUUCAAUCCUUCCACUUCAAGGAUUUCAACUUGUGGGAUAUUUGCAUCAAAAUAAAAUGGAAUUUAGACCUAAGAUAACAUCUCAACGUAUCUAUUCUAAUGGAGGACGAAUGUGGUAACUAUUCUCAACUGACUAAAAAAUGGUUUGUAGUUGUCCAUUGGUACAGUGACCUGGAACACAGAGAAGGGUUGCUGGAACAGACAUGAGGGUUGCUGAAUCAUAUGGUUGCUGGAACAGACAUGAGGGUUGCUGAAUCAUAUUAUGGUUGCUGGAACAGACAUGAGGGUUGAUUAAUCAUAUGGUUGCUGGAACAGACAUGAGGGUUGCUGAAUCAUAUGGUUGCUGAAUCAUAUGGUUGCUGGAACAGACAUCAAGGGUUGCUGAAUCAUAUGGUUGCUGGAACAGACAUGAGGGUUGCUGAAUCAUAUGGUUGCUGGAACAGAUAUGAGGGUUGCUGUAUAAAGACUUGAGGAUUGUUGGAACUUAAAGUUGCUGGAAUAC